GACGAACGCUGGCGGCGUGCCUAAUACAUGCAAGUAGAACGCACAGUUUAUACCGUAGCUUGCUACACCAUAAACUGUGAGUUGCGAACGGGUGAGUAACGCGUAGGUAACCUGCCUGGUAGCGGGGGAUAACUAUUGGAAACGAUAGCUAAUACCGCAUAAUAUUAAUUAUUGCAUGAUAAUUGAUUGAAAGAUGCAAUUGCAUCACUACCAGAUGGACCUGCGUUGUAUUAGCUAGUAGGUGAGGUAACGGCUCACCUAGGCGACGAUACAUAGCCGACCUGAGAGGGUGAUCGGCCACACUGGGACUGAGACACGGCCCAGACUCCUACGGGAGGCAGCAGUAGGGAAUCUUCGGCAAUGGACGAAAGUCUGACCGAGCAACGCCGCGUGAGGGAAGAAGGUUUUCGGAUCGUAAAGCUCUGUUGUAAGAGAAGAACGGGUGUGAGAGUGGAAAGUUCACACUGUGACGGUAUCUUACCAGAAAGGGACGGCUAACUACGUG
Molecule: ribosomal RNA, 505 nt
Filed under: uncultured bacterium
Lineage: Bacteria
Description: partial 16S ribosomal RNA
Rfam family: Bacterial small subunit ribosomal RNA
Source: RNAcentral